RNAcentral lists this long non-coding RNA (1077 nucleotides) under Homo sapiens (human). RNAcentral describes it as "HSALNT0284990". The record is from RNAcentral. Lineage: Eukaryota; Metazoa; Chordata; Mammalia; Primates; Hominidae.
GGAGGUUUAUGGCAGGGCCAGAAGCAGAAGCAAAGGCCCCUCACCUGCCUGUGCCUUUGAGGACACAGAAAGGGGACAGACUUGCUGGGUUCCCACCACACAUGUUGUCGUGAGCUCACUACACACCCUGUCCCUGGAGCAUUGGGAUGCAGCCUGGAGCCAGGAAGAUGACAGUGUUGUGCACAGCUCUGCACUGGUAAUGCACUAUGCAUGAGUCGCCCUCAGGACCUUGUGUUACUGCUGCUGGUUGGCUGGCCAGGCACUGCUGGAUACAGCAAGGGCACUGGCGAUAGCAGGCAGCAGCUUCAGUCCACACCUGCCAACUUCAGCCUAGCCAAGGGCACCCACAUCAGCACGUCCACAGCCUGAGGUCCCCUGGGUUCCACCAAGGACCUCUAAUGCAAGCUGAUAUGGGGCCCUGUGGCCAGCAGGGACCCCUACUAGACCAUCCAGACUUUGCACUAUAAAUCUUACUCAAGGCACCAUACCUGCUGAUAACAGGACCUUAAAGAAGUUAAGAUAUGCAACACUCCAACCAUAAAUCUUCCCCAAGGCAGUUGACCCUAACAUCCACAUGCACAGGAAACCCCAGAAUGGCCACUAUAUGACCUUCCUGGGCCAGCAGUAGUGAGCAACACCACUAUCUUGAACCCACUGAGCAUGGACCAAGACUUCAACCAGGACCAAGCAUGCACAGACACCAUAACAGGAAGGAAGAAAUCACUCCAGGAGGCAGAGGUUCCUGAUGUCAAUCUCUGUACCCUACCCAAUAAAAAACGCUGAGAAGCUCCCCUUGGGGAGCCAGCUGGAGGACUCUUUUUCCUGUGCCAUCUCCCUUAUGCCCAGUGUUUCUGGGCAUAAGUCUUAAUAAACAUUGCCUGGGAAAAGUUUGCCUGGCCUCAUGUUAAUUCCUGUUACCCUGAGAACCAAGAACCUCCCACUGGUAACACCAUCUCCUAAUAAAGUCACAAUGGCAAUCAAUCAAAUUUCAACAUGCAUUUUGGAGGGGGCAAACAUUCUAACCAUGGCAGCAUAUUUCACAUGUACAUUUCUAAAUACAAAUAUAAUGAUCCCACU